This 253-nucleotide ribosomal RNA is filed under the name uncultured bacterium. RNAcentral describes it as "partial 16S ribosomal RNA". It matches the Rfam family "Bacterial small subunit ribosomal RNA", at positions 524 to 777 of the family's 1533-position model. The record is from RNAcentral.
UACGAAGGGGGCGAGCGUUGCUCGGAAUCACUGGGCGUAAAGGGUGCGUAGGCGGGUCUUUAAGUCAGGGGUGAAAUCCUGGAGCUCAACUCCAGAACUGCCUUUGAUACUGAGGAUCUUGAGUUCGGGAGAGGUGAGUGGAACUGCGAGUGUAGAGGUGAAAUUCGUAGAUAUUCGCAAGAACACCAGUGGCGAAGGCGGCUCACUGGCCCGAUACUGACGCUGAGGCACGAAAGCGUGGGAGCAAACAGGG